Phodopus roborovskii (desert hamster) is the source of this 128-nucleotide small nucleolar RNA. RefSeq annotates it as small nucleolar RNA SNORA61. The record is from RefSeq and is a predicted model, not a curated record. The transcript has a single exon. Lineage: Eukaryota; Metazoa; Chordata; Mammalia; Rodentia; Cricetidae.
ACCCUCUGGUUCCUUUUCCCAUCAGAUCUUGAUGCUGAUCUUGGUGGAUGUAAAAGAGGGAGAGUAUACUGAAACUGGCCUCAUAGCUACAUAGUCAGGUAUAGAGCAUGGGUUCAAAUUAUACAUGC